Felis catus (domestic cat) is the source of this 1881-nucleotide long non-coding RNA. RefSeq lists it as uncharacterized. The record is from RefSeq and is a predicted model, not a curated record. Lineage: Eukaryota; Metazoa; Chordata; Mammalia; Carnivora; Felidae. The transcript has 3 exons.
UAACAAAGAAUGUAUGCAUGCUGCUUCACAUAAGUCCUAGGUUUUGCUGCUGUUGCAUGUACUGGCAUUUGAACUUGUGAAAUGUGAAUCGCUAUCAUUUUCACUAAAGGAAGUACAGCUGAGGAUACUGAGGCCCGGAGGGUGAGCAAAGAGCAGGACUAAGAGUGACACUCCAGUCUUCUUGACUCUAAAGUCAGAUUUUCCCCCAUGACUUCAUGAUGCUCUCCAAGGGCUUCCUGGAUUUACUAAGACCCAGCUUUUUCCUCGUGAAUGUGGAAUACGUCCUACAGAAUGACCCAUUGGCAAAAUGGAAAGUGUCUAUGCCCUUCAAUUGCUUAGAGGAGCAAGAAUGCCCACCCAACUUCCAAUGCUUACCUUAACACAUUUACAUAAGAAGCAAGAAACAGACUUCUAAUCUAAGCCAUUGUCUUUUUUAAAGCAUUAUAUUUUGAGAUCUCUUUCUUUCAGCAGCUUAGCCCUUACCUGAGCUAAUGAAGAAUUAUUCGCUUCAUUUUACAGAUCAAAAAAAGUGAAGUUCAUGGGCGUAAGUCACUCAUGUCUUAGGAUUUUUCCAGCUUCCCUGUCUUGCUCAGUGGAGCAUAUUUCUGCUGAAAAUCAGUCCCUCAAGAAUGGGGACAGAACAAAACCAAGUGGGCCCAGGACCAGAAAUACUCAGCCCCAAUAGGAUCCAAGUCAGAACAGUCUUUAAUCUUUCCAUUUCUGGAUCUCAAGUGAGCACCAUUUUGUUUAACAGUUCUCCUCGAGAGGUUUGCUUUCUCAGAACAGCCUGUCCUCACUGCAAGAAGUUCAAAAAAGGGCUUUCCAGGGUUGUUGGUUAUGUGGCAUCACACCAGCUUACCUCAACACCUAUGACAAAUGACUGCGGAAGAAACGAUUCUUUCCACAUGAGUUCCUCAUCAGUAUCUACCUCUUAAGGUGUAUGUUAUUACUUACAAAAGAAAUCCAUCAUCUUGUUCUACAAAUAAAUACAGUUAUUACCAAAUUUGUGUUCUGCUGACCAAAUAGCACAGCUGUAGAAAGAAAAUCUUCAGGAAAUAAAUGAGGAGUCCUCCUCUAUAAGUCAAUACAACCAAAACCUUGAGAGUAAAUGAAGACAAAUGGGAAGCCAGCUGGAGGAAAUCAAAUAGGCAAAGCAGGUGGGUUAGCCUAUGUUUGAGAAGAUGAAACACAGCAUGAGACAUUGCACAUUUACACAAAAGCAAGAUCUAUAACCUUUGUCAGGCUUUGAACUAAGCUAAAUGCAUGACUUAUUUAAGAAGAGCUGGUAGCUGGGAACCGGUUGAACUAAGGGUGUCAAGACCAAUUCUGAAGAUGUUUUCUUAUACUUAGCCUGUUUUCAUGUUCUCUGAGGAUUGCCAAACAGCCAGUAGCAGAUGGUCCUUCAUAUAAGUGUGAUUUUAAGUUCUGUCAGGAUGGCAUGAUUGACUAUUUCCCAAGAGUAGCAGGAAGAAGAAAUUCUUGUAAAAAAAAAUGCCUGUGUUAUGUCGGGUAGCUAUAAAACAGGCAAAGGAUGAUUAUACCUUUGACAGGCUCUUCCUUGUUAGGACAAAAACAAUACUGGGCCAGACAGCCCUCAAUGACUACAACACUUAUCUGUGGACACUCAAAAGGGGUAAAAGCUCAAAAACUGAACCACAUAACCCCCUGGAAUAUGUACUUUAGGCAACAUAAUCAUGUAUCCACCAACACCAUAGCCUUUUCCAGAAAAGCCUGCCUUGCUGUUGAGGAGAUAGAUUUAGAUAUCACAGUUGAUUCCAUUUUGGCAGGAUUCAUGAAGCCAAAAAUAAUUGCCUCCUUCAUUUUGGGCCUCUAAGAAUGCUUCUGAAGUUGUAGCUCAAGCAUGCAAACACACACACACAC